GGUUGUAUAGUGUAGCGGUUAUCACUCCGGAUUCUGAUCUUCCAUCAGGACAUUCCGGCAACCCCGGUUCGAAUCCGGGUACGACCU
This 87-nucleotide transfer RNA is filed under the name Thermochaetoides thermophila DSM 1495. RNAcentral describes it as "Chaetomium thermophilum var. thermophilum DSM 1495 tRNA". It matches the Rfam family "tRNA". Rfam says of the family: Transfer RNA (tRNA) molecules are approximately 80 nucleotides in length. Their secondary structure includes four short double-helical elements and three loops (D, anti-codon, and T loops). The record is from Rfam by way of RNAcentral. Lineage: Eukaryota; Fungi; Ascomycota; Sordariomycetes; Sordariales; Chaetomiaceae.